CCUACGGGUGGCUGCAGUGAGGAAUAUUGGUCAAUGGACGAGAGUCUGAACCAGCCAAGUAGCGUGAAGGAUGACGGCCCUAUGAGUUGUAAACUGCUUUUUUAUGAGGGUAAAAUGUUACACGUGUAUGAGGUUGUAUGUAUCAUAUGAAUAAGGAUCGACUAACUCCGUGCCAGCAGCCGCGGUAAUACGGAGGAUCCGAGCGUUAUCCGGAUUUAUUGGGUUUAAAGGGUGCGUAGGUGGUUCGAUAAGUUAGUGGUGAAAUUCUGGGGCUCAACCGCAACACUGCAUCUGAAACUGGCGGUCUUGAGUUUAGUAGCGGUGGGCGGAAGGUGUGGUGUAGCGGUGAAAUGCAUAGAGAUCAUGCAGAACACCGAAUGCGAAGGCAGCUUACCAAACUACGACUGACGUUGAGGCACGAAAGUGUGGGUAUCAAACAGGAUUAGAUACCCUGGUAGUC
RNAcentral lists this ribosomal RNA (460 nucleotides) under uncultured bacterium. RNAcentral's name for it is "partial 16S ribosomal RNA". It matches the Rfam family "Bacterial small subunit ribosomal RNA", at positions 338 to 795 of the family's 1533-position model. The record is from RNAcentral.